This 497-nucleotide ribosomal RNA is filed under the name uncultured bacterium. Its description in RNAcentral is "partial 16S ribosomal RNA". It matches the Rfam family "Bacterial small subunit ribosomal RNA", at positions 28 to 507 of the family's 1533-position model. The record is from RNAcentral.
GAUGAACGCUGGCGACGUGCCUAAUACAUGCAAGUAGAACGCUGAAGCUUGGUGCUUGCACCGAGCGGAUGAGUUGCGAACGGGUGAGUAACGCGUAGGUAACCUGCCUCUUAGCGGGGGAUAACUAUUGGAAACGAUAGCUAAUACCGCAUAAAAGUCGAUAUCGCAUGAUAUUGAUUUGAAAGGUGCAAUUGCAUCACUAAGAGAUGGACCUGCGUUGUAUUAGCUAGUUGGAGAGGUAACGGCUCACCAAGGCGACGAUACAUAGCCGACCUGGGAGGGUGAUCGGCCACACUGGGACUGAGACACGGCCCAGACUCCUACGGGAGGCAGCAGUAGGGAAUCUUCGGCAAUGGGGGCAACCCUGACCGAGCAACGCCGCGUGAGUGAAGAAGGUUUUCGGAUCGUAAAGCUCUGUUGUAAGAGAAGAACGAGUGUGAGAGUGGAAAGUUCACACUGUGACGGUAACUUACCAGAAAGGGACGGCUAACUACGUG